CCUCCUCUUCCUUUAAUAUGAUGUGCAUGAUUGAGGCAGGUGUAAGGAAAGACACGCCAUUAACAAUAAUGAAAUAUUUUGACUUACAACAUCUUCAAAAGGCAUAUCUCCCCUCUGAUUAAAUUUAAACCCCACGAUAAAUCUGUCCCAAAACAUGUGCAUAGAUUAUGCCACAACAGGUGACAGUUUACUUAAGUGUCUGUUUUGUUCCAGACACUAUGCCAGAUACUGAAAAUACAACAGACCAACAAAAACACAACCCUUGUGGAGUUCCCAUUGUGGUGCAAUGAAAACCAAUCCAACCAUAUUCGUGAGGACGCAGGUUCAAUCCUUGGCCUCGCUCGGUGGGUCGGGGAUCCUGCAUUGCCUCGAGCUGUGGUGUAGGUCCGUUUAGUUCAUGGCUGGGUUCCAGAUCUGACAACAUGGCUCAAUGCACAGUAAGAGCUUAAAAAAUAUUUGUGGAGCGAGAGAAGGAAGGAGAAGACAGGCAGGCAGACCACUCAAAACUGUGGUUUGAGGGCUUGACUAAAACGUGGUAUUAUGAACUAAAAUCUGUAACAGUGGUGGGGAGGGGGUGUCGAAGAGCUGAAACGCAAAGACUGACUGUCUUGAGUUCUAGAGUAUGUUAUCUGCCCAGACAGUGCCUUGAUAAAUCUUUUCUGCUCAGAAAAGGAUAAAGAGGAAGCCAGGAAGUGCCUGUGGAGGGCCCAGGGUACUGCACAAAAGCAAGUAUUUCUCAAACAGAAUCUCUCCUUUCGUCCUCACCACAGGACGGAAGUACCCCUACUUCUGCACAUGAAGAAACUGAGACUAAAGGGUGAACUGACUCACUCAAGGUGACACGGCUGGAUGUGGCAGAAGCCAAACUGAAAUUCCCACCCCAUCCACCACACAACACCAGAAGGAAACCAAGUUUAGUCACCAGAAUUUUUCAUAUACUUUAAGAAUAUGGUUGGGCUUUUCCUCAUCCCUUUCUACUUUGGGAUGCUUCUGCAUUCAGAGUCUCAGAUUUACACGGAGAGAUGGCUUUGACGGCCGUAUUUCUGUGUAUCUAAGAAUCUCCUUGCCUAAGCUUGACCUCUGAAGUCUCUAAAACUUGAUCACAGCCAAUUAAACUCCUUGUGUUUGAACUUCUUUACCAUGAAAAAAAAAAAGUCUUAUCCUCCCUUCGUUAUUUUAAAUUUCCCCAAUCCCUGCUUUACAAAUCGUACAAACUGACCUCUCCAUUCCUUUGCAAAAUCACAUAAAAACCAAAGUAAAUGUUUCAUCUUGUCAGCUCAUCCCAGGUACCACUGGGAUCCAGUCCCUUAAACCACCCAGUCCCUUAAACCAAUGGCUGAAAGCUGAGAGGAUAUGCAAGACAAGCCUGAGAGUUUUAACUGGCAGACCUGCUCAGAUCCUCAUUGUGCUGUUUGAAACUCGGACCACAUGAGACAACAGUUCACUUUUUUCACCGUGGCAACAGAUUCAACCUCUUGGCCCUGUGAAAGUCAUCGGAAUAUAUUCAACCAAAAGAAAAAUGAAAAGAGAGAAAGAGAGAGAGAAAGGAGGAGGGUGAAACUUCCUAUCUUCUGACUGAAGAUAUAUUCAGCACUCUGAUUUUUUUUUAUGCACAUUUGAUCAUGCUGUUGACAGCCCUGGAAGUUAAGGAAUAUGGACUGUUGCACAGAGGUUUCAAACCUGGAUGGAAACCAAUGGCAGGCUCCUUUUGACAGUCGAAUAAUGACAAGCACGUUGCAGGCCAAUGCCCGUCAUUCACCAACAUCUCCGACCUGCUCCAGC
This 1782-nucleotide long non-coding RNA is filed under the name Sus scrofa (pig). RNAcentral describes it as "lncRNA (ENSSSCG00015035734.1)". The record is from RNAcentral. Lineage: Eukaryota; Metazoa; Chordata; Mammalia; Artiodactyla; Suidae.